GAGUUUGAUUCUGGCUCAGAUUGAACGCUGGCGGCAGGCUUAACACAUGCAAGUCGAACGGUAGCAGGAGAAAGCUUGCUUUCUUGCUGACGAGUGGCGGACGGGUGAGUAAUGCUUGGGAAUCUGGCUUAUGGAGGGGGAUAACUACGGGAAACUGUAGCUAAUACCGCGUAAUAUCUAAGGAUUAAAGAAUGGGACGAUUGCCAUUUGCCAUAAGAUGAGCCCAAGUGGGAUUAGGUAGUUGGUGGGGUAAAGGCCUACCAAGCCGACGAUCUCUAGCUGGUCUGAGAGGAUGACCAGCCACACUGGAACUGAGACACGGUCCAGACUCCUACGGGAGGCAGCAGUGGGGAAUAUUGCGCAAUGGGGGCAACCCUGACGCAGCCAUGCCGCGUGAAUGAAGAAGGCCUUCGGGUUGUAAAGUUCUUUCGGUGGUGAGGAAGGCUUAAGUGCGAAUAGUACUUAGG
This 467-nucleotide ribosomal RNA is filed under the name Pasteurellaceae bacterium canine oral taxon 271. Its description in RNAcentral is "bacterial SSU rRNA". It matches the Rfam family "Bacterial small subunit ribosomal RNA", at positions 9 to 472 of the family's 1533-position model. Lineage: Bacteria; Pseudomonadati; Pseudomonadota; Gammaproteobacteria; Pasteurellales; Pasteurellaceae. The record is from RNAcentral.